UGAAUGGUGAUCUGUCUGAGAUGUAC
Molecule: non-coding RNA, 26 nt
Filed under: Homo sapiens (human)
Lineage: Eukaryota; Metazoa; Chordata; Mammalia; Primates; Hominidae
Source: RNAcentral